This 334-nucleotide ribosomal RNA is filed under the name uncultured eukaryote. Its description in RNAcentral is "partial 18S ribosomal RNA". It matches the Rfam family "Eukaryotic small subunit ribosomal RNA", at positions 1470 to 1796 of the family's 1831-position model. The record is from RNAcentral.
CCCUUAGAUGUCCGGUGCCGCACGCGCGCUACACUGAAGGAAUCAGCGUGGCUUUCUCCCUGACCCGAAAGGGUUGGGAAACCCGUUGAAUCUCCUUCGUGAUAGGGAUUGGGGCUUGAAAUUGUUCCCCAUGAACGAGGAAUUCCCAGUAAGCGCGAGUCAUAAGCUCGCGUUGAUUACGUCCCUGCCCUUUGUACACACCGCCCGUCGCUACUACCGAUUGAACGGUUUAGUGAGGGCCUCGGAUUGGUCUCGGCCCGCUCUUUACCGGGCGGCGCCGUUGGUCGAGAAGACGCUCGAACUUGAUCGUUUAGAGGAAGUAAAAGUCGUAACA